Molecule: ribosomal RNA, 423 nt
Filed under: uncultured bacterium
Lineage: Bacteria
Description: bacterial SSU rRNA
Rfam family: Bacterial small subunit ribosomal RNA
Source: RNAcentral
AAGACCUUGCGCUUUUGGAGCGGCCGAUGCCUGAUUAGCUUGUUGGUAAGGUAAAAGCUUACCAAGACUUCGAUCAGUAGCUGGUCUGAGAGGACGACCAGCCACACUGGGACUGAGACACGGCCCAGACUCCUACGGGAGGCAGCAGUGGGGAAUUUUGGACAAUGGGGGCAACCCUGAUCCAGCCAUGCCGCGUGAGUGAAGAAGGCCUUCGGGUUGUAAAGCUCUUUCAGCCGGAACGAAACGGUUACGGAUAACACCCGUGACUACUGACGGUACCGGAAGAAGAAGCACCGGCUAACUACGUGCCAGCAGCCGCGGUAAUACGUAGGGUGCGAGCGUUAAUCGGAAUUACUGGGCGUAAAGCGUGCGCAGGUGGUUUUGUAAGUCAGAUGUGAAAGCCCCGGGCUCAACCUGGGAACU